GACGAACGCUGGCGGCGUGCUUAACACAUGCAAGUCGAGCGGUAAGGCCCUUUCGGGGGUACGACGAGCGGCGAACGGGUGAGUAACACGUGGGUGACCUGCCUUUAGCUCUGGGAUAAGCCUGGGAAACUGGGUCUAAUACCGGAUACGACUCCGCGGUGCAUGCUGUGGGGUGGAAAGCCUUGUGCGGCUGGAGAUGGGCCCGCGGCCUAUCAGCUUGUUGGUGGGGUGAUGGCCUACCAAGGCGACGACGGGUAGCCGGCCUGAGAGGGCGACCGGCCACACUGGGACUGAGACACGGCCCAGACUCCUACGGGAGGCAGCAGUGGGGAAUCUUGCGCAAUGGGCGAAAGCCUGACGCAGCGACGCCGCGUGA
This 376-nucleotide ribosomal RNA is filed under the name uncultured bacterium. RNAcentral describes it as "bacterial SSU rRNA". It matches the Rfam family "Bacterial small subunit ribosomal RNA", at positions 28 to 404 of the family's 1533-position model. The record is from RNAcentral.